CCCUUAGAUGUUCUGGGCUGCACGCGCGCUACACUGAUGCGUUCAACGAGUUUAUGACCUUGCCCGAUAGGGUUGGGUAAUCUUUUUAAAUCGCAUCGUGAUGGGGAUAGAUUAUUGCAAUUAUUAAUCUUCAACGAGGAAUUCCUAGUAAGCGCGAGUCAUCAGCUCGUGCUGAUUACGUCCCUGCCCUUUGUACACACCGCCCGUCGCUCCUACCGAUUGAAUGGUCCGGUGAAAAUUUCGGAUGGUGGCGAUGCUGGCGGUUCGCCGCCGGCGCUGCCGCUAGAAGAUCUUUAAACCUUAUCAUUUAGAGGAAGGAGAAGUCGUAACA
This 331-nucleotide ribosomal RNA is filed under the name uncultured eukaryote. Its description in RNAcentral is "partial 18S ribosomal RNA". It matches the Rfam family "Eukaryotic small subunit ribosomal RNA", at positions 1470 to 1796 of the family's 1831-position model. The record is from RNAcentral.